CUGGAUGCUAUCCACACUCCAGUUCUACUUUGAAAUCCCCCUACCCCUUUGCUUUUCUUUUCUUGAUUUUUUCUUUUUUUUUCUUAUGCUAUUUUUUUUAUUUCACCUUGAUUUUAUUAUCACUUUAACUUGAUUUAAUCUUUAAUGCUACUAACCAUUAACUUCUAACUUCUAAUUUUUUUAUUCAACUUUUGUUUGUCUUUUUAUUU
Molecule: long non-coding RNA, 209 nt
Filed under: Lathyrus oleraceus (garden pea)
Lineage: Eukaryota; Viridiplantae; Streptophyta; Magnoliopsida; Fabales; Fabaceae
Description: Pisum sativum (pea) long non-coding RNA (PSAT_LNC016935)
Source: RNAcentral